AUCGAACGCUGGCGGCAGGCCUAACACAUGCAAGUCGAACGGUAGCACAGAGAGCUUGCUCUCGGGUGACGAGUGGCGGACGGGUGAGUAACGUCUGGGAAACUGCCCGAUGGAGGGGGAUAACUACUGGAAACGGUAGCUAAUACCGCAUAACGUCGCAAGACCAAAGUGGGGGACCUUCGGGCCUCACACCAUCGGAUGUGCCCAGAUGGGAUUAGCUAGUAGGUGGGGUAAUGGCUCACCUAGGCGACGAUCCCUAGCUGGUCUGAGAGGAUGACCAGCCACACUGGAACUGAGACACGGUCCAGACUCCUACGGGAGGCAGCAGUGGGGAAUAUUGCACAAUGGGCGCAAGCCUGAUGAAGCCAUGCCGCGUGUACGAAGAAGGCCUUCGGGUUGUAAAGUACUUUCAGCGGGGAGGAAGGCGGUGAAGUUAAUAACUUCACCGAUUGACGUUACCCGCAGAAGAAGCACCGGCUAACUCCGUGCCAGCAGCCGCCGUAA
This 504-nucleotide ribosomal RNA is filed under the name uncultured bacterium. RNAcentral's name for it is "partial 16S ribosomal RNA". It matches the Rfam family "Bacterial small subunit ribosomal RNA", at positions 29 to 523 of the family's 1533-position model. The record is from RNAcentral.